UUAACUGAAACCAAAAUAGAGGUAUAUUACUGUUAAUAAUACAAUUGAAUUACAUUCCAGUUAAG
This 65-nucleotide transfer RNA is filed under the name Anaplecta omei. RNAcentral describes it as "tRNA-Asn". The record is from RNAcentral. Lineage: Eukaryota; Metazoa; Arthropoda; Insecta; Blattodea; Anaplectidae.